UACGGAAGGCAGCAGUGGGGAAUAUUGCACAAUGGGCGAAAGCCUGAUGCAGCUAUGCCGCGUGUAUGAAGAAGGCCUUAGGGUUGUAAAGUACUUUCAUCGGGGAGGAAAAAACAAAACUAAUAAUUUUAUUUCUUGACGUUACCCGAAAAAGAAGCACCGGCUAACUCCGUGCCAGCAGCCGCGGUAAUACGGAGGGUGCUAGCGUUAAUCAGAAUUACUGGGCGUAAAGAGCACGUAGGUGGUUUUUUUAAGUCAGAUGUGAAAUCCCUGGGCUUUAACCUAGGAACUGCAUUUUGAAACUGAAAUACUAGAGUAUCGUAGAGGGAGGUAGAAUUCUAGGUGUAGCGGUGAAAUGCGUAGAUAUCUGGAGGAAUACCUGUGGCGAAAGCGGCCUCCUAAACGAAUACUGACACUGAGGUGCGAAAAGCGUGGGGAGCAAACAGGGAUUAGAUACC
RNAcentral lists this ribosomal RNA (458 nucleotides) under uncultured bacterium. RNAcentral describes it as "bacterial SSU rRNA". It matches the Rfam family "Bacterial small subunit ribosomal RNA", at positions 340 to 786 of the family's 1533-position model. The record is from RNAcentral.